ACUACGGGGGGCAGCAGUGGGGAAUAUUGCACAAUGGGGGAAACCCUGAUGCAGCGACGCCGCGUGAGCGAUGAAGUAUUUCGGUAUGUAAAGCUCUAUCAGCAGGGAAGAAAAUGACGGUACCUGACUAAGAAGCCCCGGCUAACUACGUGCCAGCAGCCGCGGUAAUACGUAGGGGGCAAGCGUUAUCCGGAUUUACUGGGUGUAAAGGGAGCGUAGACGGUCCUGCAAGCCAGAUGUGAAAGCCCGGGGCUCAACCCCGGGACUGCAUUUGGAACUGUAAGGCGAGCGUGUCGGAGAGGCAGGCGGAAUUCCUAGUGGAGCGGUGAAAGGCGUAGAUAUUAGGAGGAACACCAGUGGCGAAGGCGGCCUGCUGGACGAUGACUGACGUUGAGGCUCGAAAGCGUGGGGAGCAAACAGGAUUAGAUACCCCAGUAGUC
RNAcentral lists this ribosomal RNA (440 nucleotides) under uncultured bacterium. RNAcentral describes it as "partial 16S ribosomal RNA". It matches the Rfam family "Bacterial small subunit ribosomal RNA", at positions 338 to 795 of the family's 1533-position model. The record is from RNAcentral.